RNAcentral lists this ribosomal RNA (746 nucleotides) under Salmonella enterica subsp. enterica serovar Newport. Its description in RNAcentral is "partial 23S ribosomal RNA". It matches the Rfam family "Bacterial large subunit ribosomal RNA", at positions 2176 to 2916 of the family's 2925-position model. The record is from RNAcentral. Lineage: Bacteria; Pseudomonadati; Pseudomonadota; Gammaproteobacteria; Enterobacterales; Enterobacteriaceae.
CUGCGUGGAGCCGACCUUGAAAUACCACCCUUUAAUGUUUGAUGUUCUAACGUGGACCCGUAAUCCGGGUUGCGGACAGUGUCUGGUGGGUAGUUUGACUGGGGCGGUCUCCUCCUAAAGAGUAACGGAGGAGCACGAAGGUUGGCUAAUCCUGGUCGGACAUCAGGAGGUUAGUGCAAUGGCAUAAGCCAGCUUGACUGCGAGCGUGACGGCGCGAGCAGGUGCGAAAGCAGGUCAUAGUGAUCCGGUGGUUCUGAAUGGAAGGGCCAUCGCUCAACGGAUAAAAGGUACUCCGGGGAUAACAGGCUGAUACCGCCCAAGAGUUCAUAUCGACGGCGGUGUUUGGCACCUCGAUGUCGGCUCAUCACAUCCUGGGGCUGAAGUAGGUCCCAAGGGUAUGGCUGUUCGCCAUUUAAAGUGGUACGCGAGCUGGGUUUAGAACGUCGUGAGACAGUUCGGUCCCUAUCUGCCGUGGGCGCUGGAGAACUGAGGGGGGCUGCUCCUAGUACGAGAGGACCGGAGUGGACGCAUCACUGGUGUUCGGGUUGUCAUGCCAAUGGCACUGCCCGGUAGCUAAAUGCGGAAGAGAUAAGUGCUGAAAGCAUCUAAGCACGAAACUUGCCCCGAGAUGAGUUCUCCCUGAGACUUAGAGUCUCCUGAAGGAACGUUGAAGACGACGACGUUGAUAGGCCGGGUGUGUAAGCGCAGCGAUGCGUUGAGCUAACCGGUACUAAUGAACCGUGAGG